GUGAUGAUGGGUCGUGAGACCCCUACCUUGUAAUAUUAUGUGUGUGGCUCUUCCGAGCCUUCUAAAUAAAGUUGUUAUGUUUAUGGUUAUGUUGUGAUGCCAUCGAUGUAUCUAUACAUAUCGGUAUGCCAUGCGUAAGUGUGUUCUACUUUAUAUGUAUGGGGUUCGAUUACCUAGCCGUAGGCUUUAGUAGCAUUCCUUACAGGGAAAUGCCCCUUUGUGAUCCAACGAGCCAUGGUAGUUCGCUACUGCUCCGGACACAUUGGUUGACCGGCA
This 276-nucleotide long non-coding RNA is filed under the name Hordeum vulgare. RNAcentral describes it as "long non-coding RNA (HVUL_LNC001291)". The record is from RNAcentral. Lineage: Eukaryota; Viridiplantae; Streptophyta; Magnoliopsida; Poales; Poaceae.